RNAcentral lists this ribosomal RNA (1369 nucleotides) under uncultured bacterium. RNAcentral's name for it is "bacterial SSU rRNA". It matches the Rfam family "Bacterial small subunit ribosomal RNA", at positions 28 to 1381 of the family's 1533-position model. The record is from RNAcentral.
GACGAACGCUGGCGGCGUGCCUAAUACAUGCAAGUAGAACGCUGAAGAGAGGAGCUUGCUCUUCUUGGAUGAGUUGCGAACGGGUGAGUAACGCGUAGGUAACCUGCCUUGUAGCGGGGGAUAACUAUUGGAAACGAUAGCUAAUACCGCAUAACAAUGGAUGACACAUGUCAUUUAUUUGAAAGGGGCAAUUGCUCCACUACAAGAUGGACCUGCGUUGUAUUAGCUAGUAGGUGAGGUAAUGGCUCACCUAGGCGACGAUACAUAGCCGACCUGAGAGGGUGAUCGGCCACACUGGGACUGAGACACGGCCCAGACUCCUACGGGAGGCAGCAGUAGGGAAUCUUCGGCAAUGGGGGCAACCCUGACCGAGCAACGCCGCGUGAGUGAAGAAGGUUUUCGGAUCGUAAAGCUCUGUUGUAAGUCAAGAACGGGUGUGAGAGUGGAAAGUUCACACUGUGACGGUAGCUUACCAGAAAGGGACGGCUAACUACGUGCCAGCAGCCGCGGUAAUACGUAGGUCCCGAGCGUUGUCCGGAUUUAUUGGGCGUAAAGCGAGCGCAGGCGGUUUGAUAAGUCUGAAGUUAAAGGCUGUGGCUCAACCAUAGUUCGCUUUGGAAACUGUCAAACUUGAGUGCAGAAGGGGAGAGUGGAAUUCCAUGUGUAGCGGUGAAAUGCGUAGAUAUAUGGAGGAACACCGGUGGCGAAAGCGGCUCUCUGGUCUGUAACUGACGCUGAGGCUCGAAAGCGUGGGAAGCGAACAGGAUUAGAUACCCUGGUAGUCCACGCCGUAAACGAUGAGUGCUAGGUGUUGGAUCCUUUCCGGGAUUCAGUGCCGCAGCUAACGCAUUAAGCACUCCGCCUGGGGAGUACGACCGCAAGGUUGAAACUCAAAGGAAUUGACGGGGGCCCGCACAAGCGGUGGAGCAUGUGGUUUAAUUCGAAGCAACGCGAAGAACCUUACCAGGUCUUGACAUCCCGAUGCUAUUUCUAGAGAUAGAAAGUUACUUCGGUACAUCGGUGACAGGUGGUGCAUGGUUGUCGUCAGCUCGUGUCGUGAGAUGUUGGGUUAAGUCCCGCAUCGAGCGCAACCCCUAUUGUUAGUUGCCAUCAUUCAGUUGGGCACUCUAGCGAGACUGCCGGUAAUAAACCGGAGGAAGGUGGGGAUGACGUCAAAUCAUCAUGCCCCUUAUGACCUGGGCUACACACGUGCUACAAUGGUUGGUACAACGAGUUGCGAGUCGGUGACGGCGAGCUAAUCUCUUAAAGCCAAUCUCAGUUCGGAUUGUAGGCUGCAACUCGCCUACAUGAAGUCGGAAUCGCUAGUAAUCGCGGAUCAGCACGCCGCGGUGAAUACGUUCCCGGGCCU